RNAcentral lists this ribosomal RNA (496 nucleotides) under uncultured bacterium. Its description in RNAcentral is "partial 16S ribosomal RNA". It matches the Rfam family "Bacterial small subunit ribosomal RNA", at positions 28 to 506 of the family's 1533-position model. The record is from RNAcentral.
GAUGAACGCUGGCGGCGUGCCUAAUACAUGCAAGUCGAGCGAACAGACGAGGAGCUUGCUCCUCUGACGUUAGCGGCGGACGGGUGAGUAACACGUGGAUAACCUACCUAUAAGACUGGGAUAACUUCGGGAAACCGGAGCUAAUACCGGAUAAUAUAUUGAACCGCAUGGUUCAAUAGUGAAAGACGGUUUUGCUGUCACUUAUAGAUGGAUCCGCGCCGCAUUAGCUAGUUGGUAAGGUAACGGCUUACCAAGGCGACGAUGCGUAGCCGACCUGAGAGGGGGAUCGGCCACACUGGAACUGAGAAACGGUCCAGACUCCUACGGGAGGCAGCAGUAGGGAAUCUGCCGAAAGGGGCGAAAGCCUGACGGAGCAACGCCGGGGGAGUGAUGAAGGUCUUCGGAUCGUAAAACGCUGUUAUUAGGGAAGAACAAAUGUGUAAGUAACUAUGCACGUCUGGACGGUACCUAAGCAGAAAACCACGGCUAACUACGU